GUGGGGAAUCUUGCGCAAUGGGCGAAAGCCUGACGCAGCCAUGCCGCGUGAAUGAUGAAGGUCUUAGGAUUGUAAAAUUCUUUCACCGGGGACGAUAAUGACGGUACCCGGAGAAGAAGCUCCGGCUAACUUCGUGCCAGCAGCCGCGGUAAUACGAAGGGGGCUAGCGUUGCUCGGAUUUACUGGGCGUAAAGGGCGCGUAGGCGGACAUUUAAGUCAGGGGUGAAAUCCCGGGGCUCAACCUCGGAACUGCCUUUGAUACUGGGUGUCUUGAGUAUGAGAGAGGUGUGUGGAACUCCGAGUGUAGAGGUGAAAUUCGUAGAUAUUCGGAAGAACAACAGUGGCGAAGGCGACACACUGGCUCAUUACUGACGCUGAGGCGCGAAAGCGUGGGGAGCAAACAGGAUUAGAAACCCGAGUAGUCC
Molecule: ribosomal RNA, 425 nt
Filed under: uncultured bacterium
Lineage: Bacteria
Description: partial 16S ribosomal RNA
Rfam family: Bacterial small subunit ribosomal RNA
Source: RNAcentral